AGAGUUUGAUCAUGGCUCAGAUUGAACGCUGGCGGCAGGCCUAACACAUGCAAGUCGAACGGUAACAGGAAGCAGCUUGCUGCUUUGCUGACGAGUGGCGGACGGGUGAGUAAUGUCUGGGAAACUGCCUGAUGGAGGGGGAUAACUACUGGAAACGGUGGCUAAUACCGCAUAACGUCGCAAGACCAAAGAGGGGGACCUUCGGGCCUCUUGCCAUCAGAUGUGCCCAGAUGGGAUUAGCUUGUUGGUGAGGUAACGGCUCACCAAGGCGACGAUCCCUAGCUGGUCUGAGAGGAUGACCAGCCACACUGGAACUGAGACACGGUCCAGACUCCUACGGGAGGCAGCAGUGGGGAAUAUUGCACAAUGGGCGCAAGCCUGAUGCAGCCAUGCCGCGUGUAUGAAGAAGGCCUUCGGGUUGUAAAGUACUUUCAGCGGGGAGGAAGGUGUUGUGGUUAAUAACCGCAGCAAUUGACGUUACCCGCAGAAGAAGCACCGGCUAACUCCGUGCCAGCAGCCGCGGUAAUACGGAGGGUGCAAGCGUUAAUCGGAAUUACUGGGCGUAAAGCGCACGCAGGCGGUCUGUCAAGUCGGAUGUGAAAUCCCCGGGCUCAACCUGGGAACUGCAUUCGAAACUGGCAGGCUUGAGUCUUGUAGAGGGGGGUAGAAUUCCAGGUGUAGCGGUGAAAUGCGUAGAGAUCUGGAGGAAUACCGGUGGCGAAGGCGGCCCCCUGGACAAAGACUGACGCUCAGGUGCGAAAGCGUGGGGAGCAAACAGGAUUAGAUACCCUGGUAGUCCACGCCGUAAACGAUGUCUACUUGGAGGUUGUGCCCUUGAGGCGUGGCUUCCGGAGCUAACGCGUUAAGUAGACCGCCUGGGGAGUACGGCCGCAAGGUUAAAACUCAAAUGAAUUGACGGGGGCCCGCACAAGCGGUGGAGCAUGUGGUUUAAUUCGAUGCAACGCGAAGAACCUUACCUGGUCUUGACAUCCACAGAACUUUCCAGAGAUGGAUUGGUGCCUUCGGGAACUGUGAGACAGGUGCUGCAUGGCUGUCGUCAGCUCGUGUUGUGAAAUGUUGGGUUAAGUCCCGCAACGAGCGCAACCCUUAUCCUUUGUUGCCAGCGGUCCGGCCGGGAACUCAAAGGAGACUGCCAGUGAUAAACUGGAGGAAGGUGGGGAUGACGUCAAGUCAUCAUGGCCCUUACGACCAGGGCUACACACGUGCUACAAUGGCGCAUACAAAGAGAAGCGACCUCGCGAGAGCAAGCGGACCUCAUAAAGUGCGUCGUAGUCCGGAUUGGAGUCUGCAACUCGACUCCAUGAAGUCGGAAUCGCUAGUAAUCGUGGAUCAGAAUGCCACGGUGAAUACGUUCCCGGGCCUUGUACACACCGCCCGUCACACCAUGGGGAGUGGGUUGCAAAAGAAGUAGGUAGCUUAACCUUCGGGAGGGCGCUUACCACUUUGUGAUUCAUGACUGGGGUGAAGUCGUAACAAGUAACCGUAGGGGAACCUGCGGUUGGAUCACCUCCUU
RNAcentral lists this ribosomal RNA (1534 nucleotides) under Salmonella enterica subsp. enterica serovar Javiana str. GA_MM04042433. Its description in RNAcentral is "bacterial SSU rRNA". It matches the Rfam family "Bacterial small subunit ribosomal RNA". Lineage: Bacteria; Pseudomonadati; Pseudomonadota; Gammaproteobacteria; Enterobacterales; Enterobacteriaceae. The record is from RNAcentral.